AAGCUUUAUGGUGUUGAAAUGCUCUGAUCUGCAGAAAUACAAGAUGACCACUCACUAGCAAAUCUGAGUUCUGUUUCUGGAGAGAAAUGUUAUGAAUUAAACAUUUCUGUGUAUCCCUUAUGUUUUAGGUUGAAUCUGCUAUCUGCCAAAAGUGCUGGACAGCAUGUCUCUGAACUGGGAUAUGUGUUUUAGAGACCUGUUUGAAAACAGAUAGGAGACAUAGCCUGUGCUGACCUGGAUUAAAAGCACUUGAGAAUGAGUCCUGACUGAGUCACCUGGAGGUGACUGGUUGCUCUUGAAGCUGAAUCACAAAGUCCUCAGUUCUUUGGGAGGUCCUAAAAACAGAAGCUGCUCACACCUCCAUGAGGGAGCUCAGCAAGAAGUUUACAAGGGACAAAGAAGACAUCUGCUGCACCUCCAGGUCAGCAGACCUUAGUAACGCAUAGAAGGGUUCCAGAUGCUCCACAGGCAGGGAGAUGUUCACUGGAGGAAUGAGAGGAAAUAUUGAGGACUCUCAUGGUUCACUGCAGUCACAUUUAUCUCUUGUUGGUCUUAAGCCUCAGGUGUUCCCAUAUAUAGGCUGAGAGGUAUUCCCCUUCAUUUAAAUCCAUUGCUACUAGCAAAAUAGGGCAAGUUUCCUGAAAAGGAUUUGAAUAAUCAAGUACUUCAAAAACAUCACAGGAAGGGAAGCAAUUUGCCUUGCUGCCGAACAAGUCAUUCCACCCCACAGGAGCUCCUCAUGUUGUGGCUAUCUGCACUUUCAAUCUAACAAAAAAGCCAUGGUAUAAAGCUAUCAAGCCAAGUGUCAGAAUUCUUUCCUUGAAGUAAAUGUAAAACAAAAUAAAUAAAU
Molecule: long non-coding RNA, 850 nt
Organism: Pezoporus occidentalis (night parrot)
Lineage: Eukaryota; Metazoa; Chordata; Aves; Psittaciformes; Psittacidae
Exons: 2
Source: RefSeq, a predicted model, not a curated record